CAGCUCAGGGACCCUGAAACUGCCUCAGGGAACCCAAAACUGCCUCAGGGAACCCAAAAACAUCCUCAGGGAACUCAAAAACGCCUCAAGGAACCCAAAAUCACCUCAUGGACCAUGAAACUGCCUCGGGGAACCCAAAAACACCUCAGGGAACCCAAAACCAGCUCAGGGACCCUGAAAUCAUCUCAGGGAACCCAAAAACAUCUCAGGGAAUCCAAAAACAGCUUAGGGACCCUGAAACUGCCUCAGGGAACCCAAAACUGCCUCAGGGAACCCAAAACCGCCUUGGAGACCCCCAGAGUGUCCUCGAAACCACCUCAGGUCCCCCAGAGUGUCGCCAGCACCCCCUAAAGCUCCUCCCAAAAGUGUCCCCAAGGGCAAUGUCCCCUCCUGACCAGGUUGGGGACAUCCCUGGGGGUCAGCGUGACAGGUGACACAGGUGACAGCCCCCCCAAAGUGUCCCCAAGGGCGAUGUCCCCUCCUGACCAGGUUGGGGACAUUCUCGGGGGUCAGCAGGACAGGUGACACAGGUGACAGCCCCCCCAGAGUGUCCCCAAGGGCGAUGUCCCCUCCUGACCAGGUUGGGGACAUCCCUGGGGGUCAGCAGGACAGGUGACACAGGUGACAGCCCCCCCAGAGUGUCCCCAAGGGCGAUGUCCCCUCCUGACCAGGCUGGGGACAUUCUCGGGGGUCAGCAGGACAGGUGACACAGGUGACACAGGUGACAGCCCCCCCAGAGUGUCCCCAAGGGCGAUGUCCCCUCCUGACCAGGUUGGCCACGUUCUCGGGGGUCAGCAGGACAGGUGACACAGGUGACACAGGUGACAGCCCCCCCAGAGUGUCCCCAAGGGCGAUGUCCCCUCCUGACCAGGUUGGCCACGUUCUCGGGGGUCAG
Long non-coding RNA from Serinus canaria (Common canary), 895 nucleotides. RefSeq lists it as uncharacterized. The transcript has 4 exons. The record is from RefSeq and is a predicted model, not a curated record. Lineage: Eukaryota; Metazoa; Chordata; Aves; Passeriformes; Fringillidae.